This 164-nucleotide ribosomal RNA is filed under the name uncultured bacterium. Its description in RNAcentral is "partial 16S rRNA". It matches the Rfam family "Bacterial small subunit ribosomal RNA", at positions 355 to 511 of the family's 1533-position model. The record is from RNAcentral.
UAGGGAAUCUUCCACAAUGGACGAAAGUCUGAUGGAGCAACGCCGCGUGAGUGAAGAUGGGUUUCGGCUCGUAAAACUCUGUUGUUAAAGAAGAACAUAUCUGAGAGUAACUGUUCAGGUAUUGACGGUAUUUAACCAGAAAGCCACGGCUAACUACGUGCAAG